UCCCUGGUGGUCUAGUGGUUAAGACUCUGUACUUGCAAUGCACAAGGACCAGGUUUGAUCCCUGGCUGGGCUU
This 73-nucleotide transfer RNA is filed under the name Bos taurus (domestic cattle). It matches the Rfam family "tRNA". Rfam says of the family: Transfer RNA (tRNA) molecules are approximately 80 nucleotides in length. Their secondary structure includes four short double-helical elements and three loops (D, anti-codon, and T loops). Lineage: Eukaryota; Metazoa; Chordata; Mammalia; Artiodactyla; Bovidae. RNAcentral also lists the same sequence under 1 other name. The record is from Rfam by way of RNAcentral.